CCUACGGGAGGCAGCAGUGAGGAAUAUUGGUCAAUGGACGAGAGCCUGAACCAGCCAAGUAGCGUGAAGGAUGACUGCCCUAUGGGUUGUAAACUUCUUUUAUAUGGGAAUAAAACAGGGUAUGCAUACCCUCUUGUAUGUACCAUAUGAAUAAGGAACGGCUAACUCCGUGCCAGCAGCCGCGGUAAUACGGAGGAUCCGAGCGUUAUCCGGAUUUAUUGGGUUUAAAGGGAGCGUAGGUGGAUUGUUAAGUCAGUUGUGAAAGUUUGCGGCUCAACCGUAAAAUUGCAGUUGAAACUGGCAGUCUUGAGUACAGCAGAGGUGGGCGGAAUUCGUGGUGUAGCGGUGAAAUGCUUAGAUAUCACGAAGAACCCCGAUUGCGAAGGCAGCUCACUGGACUGCAACUGACACUGAUGCUCGAAAGUGUGGGUAUCAAACAGGAUUAGAUACCCCAGUAGUC
This 460-nucleotide ribosomal RNA is filed under the name uncultured bacterium. RNAcentral's name for it is "partial 16S ribosomal RNA". It matches the Rfam family "Bacterial small subunit ribosomal RNA", at positions 338 to 795 of the family's 1533-position model. The record is from RNAcentral.